AACGAACGCUGGCGGCAUGCCUAACACAUGCAAGUCGAACGAGACCUUCGGGUCUAGUGGCGCACGGGUGCGUAACGCGUGGGAAUCUGCCCUUCGGUUGGGAAUAACUGAGAGAAAUUUCAGCUAAUACCUUAUAAUGUCUUCGGACCAAAGAUUUAUCGCCGAGGGAUGAGCCCGCGUAGGAUUAGGUAGUUGGUGGGGUAAUGGCCUACCAAGCCGACGAUCCUUAGCUGGUCUGAGAGGAUGAUCAGCCACACUGGGACUGAGACACGGCCCAGACUCCUACGGGAGGCAGCAGUGGGGAAUAUAGGACAGUGGGCGAAAGCCUGAUCCAGCAAUGCCGCGUGAGUGAUGAAGGCCUUAGGGUUGUAAAGCUCUUUUACCCGGGAUGAUAAUGACAGGACCGGGAGAAUAAGCGCCGGCGAACUCCGU
RNAcentral lists this ribosomal RNA (432 nucleotides) under uncultured bacterium. RNAcentral's name for it is "partial 16S ribosomal RNA". It matches the Rfam family "Bacterial small subunit ribosomal RNA", at positions 29 to 506 of the family's 1533-position model. The record is from RNAcentral.